AAGAAUUAACACUUUAGUUCUAUUUCUAUUGUUGAUGAUCAUAGUAGCCCUUUUACCAUUUUGUAUAAAUGACUUGUUCUAUUUGUACAGAUAGGGUGGAGGGGAACAUUUAAUUCUUUUUAUCUAUUAGUUUUCAGUUCUUAUCUUUGGCGUGUGGUAGAGCAAUCUGAUAGGCUCAUAACCUUGAGGUCAUGGAAAUUGCAGUUACUUUUCUAUCCUCAUUUUGUAGUCAUAUUCCUUUGUACAUAACAUGUUUGAUGAAAGUUAUGUUCAAAUUAUUAGAAGAAUGAUCCAUUGAUUCUUAGUAAAUAUGUUAUCAAAUUCUGUAACAUCCUAAAUCAAUGGAUUACAAGUGCCGCUGAAAGAAACAAAAGGAAAAUGACCUCUUCAACUACGAUCGAUUGACAAGAAAGGAAAGUAGCAAUGACAAAAUAUGCAACUUCAGGCAAGAUGUUGAAACUAGGAUCACGACACAACUUGGUUACCCAAAUUUCUGUUUACAAAGCUUGCUUUUCAUGUGUGUUCUUCCCACAAUAUCCAUAAUAACCUUUAAUGCAGUCAUAUCCUUAGCUAUUCUUUGUUUAAGACAUCUAUUGAUACCUCUACCUUCUAUAUUAACCACUCCUAGUGGCUGCUUGGUAUCAUUCAUUGUUGAGUAAUUACUCCUGUAUAGAUCAUCUCUUAAACUAAUUUUGUCCACUCUAAACAAAUAACUUAUUUGUCAGAAUCUUUUAGUUAUCGAUCUCACAAAUUAAAGAAGCCUAUGCUUGAUUGUGUGGUGCACCACAAAACAAGUAUAUAUUAUAUAUUUAUAUAUAUAGAAAAAAAAACAAUUAAGAUACUUGAUUACGCAAUGCCUAGUCAAAGUCAGAAGCAUCAAUAAUUCAAUUUUCAAUGUUCUUUAUAGUUUUUUUUUUCAUUUUAUGAAGAAAAAUAAAAAGUGCAAGAAUAAAGACGUUAACUUUUUUGGUAAAAUAAAAAAUUGUUCUCUUGGUUUAUGUCAAGGUUAUUAUUUAUUUAUUUAUUUAUUUUUCCCUCUCAAUUUUAAUGUUUUUAUUUCCAUUCGAAUUUCGAUAGCAAGUUGACAUAUUUUUAAUAUUACAUGCUAAUUUUUGUUUGAAAAUAACCAAGUAGUUCUUUGGUUAUUUUUACUUUAUUUACUAUUUUAAAAAUAAAUUUCAUUAUUAUUUGUCAUUUUUAACAUAUCAAAAAAAUAUAAUUAAAAAAAUCAUAUUUUGUUCUUACUAUUAAUUAUUUAUUUUUCAAUACCUAAUGUUAAACAUCAAUUCAUUGGUAAAAUAGUAAUGUCAAUAAUUAUUUUCCAAAUAAAUGUGCUAAAUUCAAAUGUGACAAGAAAAAGUAAAUGAAAGAAUUAUUAAAGAGAAAGCCACAAUUGAGAAAUGUGAACUUUUUUGACUUUUCGCUAGCAUUUGAUCAUAUAUUUCUAAACAUCUUUGACAAGUCAUUUUUGGGUGAAGUUUCAUGUAUUAAAUAUAAGUUUCUAAAAAAGUAAAAGAAAUAAUUUUGUUAAACAAAAAUGCACUGAAAAUGUGGUGCAAUAGAAAGAUCGAGUUUUUAACCUCUUGAUAUACAAUAAAACAACACAAAUAUGGGAUGAUUUUGAGUUUAUGUAAAAUCAAGUUCGUGACCAAAUCACCGAUAUAAGUUAUGGUGUAGUGAUAGAAUUGUUCUAAACCAAUUAUUAGGUUUGAACACUAGAUAUAAAGAAAAUUUCAUUGUAAACGUCACUUCCAAAUGAAUUCUACAGUGAGCAAUACUAAAAAGAAUAAUUUUUUUCAGAACCCACUUGACUAAGCUAUCAAAAAUUGUCUAUUUAAAAAAAAUAAAAAAUUAUCAAAAUAAUUAUAAAAAGUACUUUUGAACUAUAAUACUUAGUUUAUGUUUGAUCAAUUCAUUUCAAAUGUCACUUUAUAAUAUUCGAUAAAAGAAAUGCUAGGCCAAAUUUUACAUCAAGUGCUUCUCAGUAUUGGUUUACAAGAAAAAAAAAUUGCAUCAAGGUUCAGUUCACAAUUAGAAAUGAUUAAAAUAAAGGAAUAAAUUUAAAUACAUCAUGAAAUAUUUUAUUUGAUUUUUAUUUUAAUUAAAAUAUAAAUUAAAAACAUAUAUAUAUAUAUAUAUAUAUAUAUUUUUUUUUUNNNNNNNNNNNNNNNNNNNNNNNNNNNNNNNNNNNNNNNNNNNNNNNNNNNNNNNNNNNNNNNNNNNNNNNNNNNNNNNNNNNNNNNNNNNNNNNNNNNNNNNNNNNNNNNNNNNNNNNNNNNNNNNNNNNNNNNNNNNNNNNNNNNNNNNNNNNNNNNNNNNNNNNNNNNNNNNNNNNNNNNNNNNNNNNNNNNNNNNNNNNNNNNNNNNNNNNNNNNNNNNNNNNNNNNNNNNNNNNNNNNNNNNNNNNNNNNNNNNNNNNNNNNNNNNNNNNNNNNNNNNNNNNNNNNNNNNNNNNNNNNNNNNNNNNNNNNNNNNNNNNNNNNNNNNNNNNNNNNNNNNNNNNNNNNNNNNNNNNNNNNNNNNNNNNNNNNNNNNNNNNNNNNNNNNNNNNNNNNNNNNNNNNNNNNNNNNNNNNNNNNNNNNNNNNNNNNNNNNNNNNNNNNNNNNNNNNNNNNNNNNNNNNNNNNNNNNNNNNNNNNNNNNNNNNNNNNNNNNNNNNNNNNNNNNNNNNNNNNNNNNNNNNNNNNNNNNNNNNNNNNNNNNNNNNNNNNNNNNNNNNNNNNNNNNNNNNNNNNNNNNNNNNNNNNNNNNNNNNNNNNNNNNNNNNNNNNNNNNNNNNNNNNNNNNNNNNNNNNNNNNNNNNNNNNNNNNNNNNNNNNNNNNNNNNNNNNNNNNNNNNNNNNNNNNNNNNNNNNNNNNNNNNNNNNNNNNNNNNNNNNNNNNNNNNNNNNNNNNNNNNNNNNNNNNNNNNNNNNNNNNNNNNNNNNNNNNNNNNNNNNNNNNNNNNNNNNNNNNNNNNNNNNNNNNNNNNNNNNNNNNNNNNNNNNNNNNNNNNNNNNNNNNNNNNNNNNAAUUAUUUUAUUUUAAUUAAUUUAUUAUAUUUUUUUUUUUUAUAUUUUUUUUUUUCUAUUUUUUUAUUUUUUUUUAUCAGUAUAAAAUAUAACAAUACAAAUAUCAUGUAUUUGGUAUACUACAAAAGAAAUAAAAAUCAUACCUUGUAAAUAUAAUGACUCUCAUGGUCGUUCUUAGUUUUCUGCAGGUUUUCUUCUUUUUUAUUGAUCCUUUUCGUAAUUUCUAUAUAUCAUUUGUAAAUAGCAGGAAUGAGUGAUAUGAUUUCACGUGUGGACAAAUGAAUAUUGGAUGAAAUUUUCAGUUUUGAAGGUUUUGAGAAAUUUGACCAAAGUCAACAUUCUAGCUUAACAAACCCCAGUUGAGUUUUGACAAUUUUGUUAGGUUCGUAAGGAAGUUUUUGACGAUUCCAUUAGGUCUGGAAGAUAAUUUUUAACUUAGAUAAGUGGUUAACGAGAAUCUCAAGGCAUUCAGGAGUGGUUGGAGUCAUUGAUUGAAUUCUAGAAUUUUAAGUAAAUUAAAGUUGACUACGAUCAACUUUUUAGCAAGACAACCUUAAUUUGGUAAUUUGAUGAUUACAACAUGUGUGUAACGUGUUUUAAAGUCAAUCUGCAUAUUUUGUUUAUUUUCAAGGGUUUUAAAUGAUUUUUGAGGGUUUAUUUCGUGAUUUGAUUGAAUUCAAGCACUACUGAAUUGUUGUCAUAUGAUGUAGGUUGGUGUAUUUUUCGUGUUUAUUAGACCCUCGUUGUGUUUGCGAAGGACAUUGAGAUUGAUCAUUGCAAUUGAUGUGGGUCCAAUCACAAUCGCGUAGAAGGGGUUUAAUCGGGUUGGGCUUGAAUCGGAUCGCAUUCGCAGGGUUUGAAUUUGGGUCAACAUCAUGAUCGUGAAGGGACCAUCACGUUUGUGAUGAAGAAAAACACAUGAACAUAUUUUAACUUUUAAUUUUGAACUUAUAUUUCAUAACUCGAAUUUGGAAGAUUGAAAUCUUGGUUUUGGAUGAUUGCAACAAGGUUUCGCUCGAUUUCUUUGUGGGUAAAACUCUAAUCUCUUAAUAUGUUUUUCUUACUAACUCAUCAUUUAAUUUGUGAUGUAGGGAAAAUUAAAUUAAUCUUUCUUUGUGGGUAAAACUCUAAUCUCCCAUAAUAAUCUUUCUUUGACUCCUUAUGAAAUUUUAGUGUAUUGAUUUGCUAAAUUAAGGGGUCAUGGGUAAUUGGGGGAAUGUAUAUGUGGGUACCAAUUAGGUUGUUCAAAAUCGAAUAAAAAUUGAUAAUUCAAAUAGAAAAGUUAUCAAUUUAUCGGUAAUUAAUGGGUUAUUGAUUAAGCGGUUUCGAUAACGAAUUUUAAUUAUUUAUUAUCGUGUUAACGGUUCUUAAUGGGAGUGCGCUCUAGCUAGUUGAACUUAGAAUUUAAUUUCGUACUUUUAUUUCUGGUUGUCUUAAACUCUCGAUUAUUCAACAGUGUGUCAGUAUUUAUUUUUGAUCAAGUUGCAAUCUAUCAACUCAUGAGCAUGGUUCAUUUGGUUUGUACAUUGUUUCUAAGUGAUUUUCAAUGAUUUUUUGUGUGCCAAAUCUUAACGGUUAAAUCGAUAACUGAACCGAUAAUAACUGAUAAAUUGAUAACUGAUAAGUCAGUAUUUUAAUGGUUCUAUAAUGAUUUGACAUAUAUACAAAUCAAUAAUCGAUAACCGAUAAACUUUAAAAUUGAAUCGAACCGACCAACAUGCAAUCAUAGCACCGAUCGCAUCAUAUAGGUAAGUUAAUAAUUUUUAAGUAAGGACCAAAUUAGUUUCCCCUAUAAAUAAAGUAAUUUUCCUUCUUUGUAAAACAUACUUAUGAAAAAUAAGAAGUUUUAUAUCUUUCUCCGUGUAUCAUAUUCUUCUUAUCAUUUUAUAAUAUCCUAACCGAACAAUAUUUCUUGACAAUUUUGGAAUAAUUUUUCUAGGCAAAUAUAUUUUUCCUUCUGAUUUAACACAUGGUUCUAAAACAAUUUUAUGAUCAUCCAAGAGAAUCCCAUAGUUGGGUCUCAUCAAUUUAUCUCUAACUUAUAUAUAAUUCCUUCUUUCUUAAGCCUUAAACCAAAUGUGACGACCCGGAAGUAUCUAAGGCCUCAUCAGAUGGCCUAUGGUAAGUCAACCCAGAGUUUCUUCCCAACAGAGAAUACAAAGAGUGUUGAAUUAAUAUUGAAGUGAUUGAAAAUAAAAAUAAAAUGGGAAACAAAAGAAGUUAACUAAUGUUGGGGAAAAAAGAGGGUUUAUCUGUGAACUUAGCUUAUAGAUGUGAUUUAUAUAUUCUACGGCUAUCGAAUUGGGGUUGAGAGUUCAAGAAAUAGAGGAAUUUAUAAAUUCUUAUGAACUGAGUGAGUACAUUAAAUGAUUGAGUUGUAAACUUUAAUAUUCGAUUUGAUCUUGAUUUUAGGAUACCAAUUCUUCGAUUUAAUCAAAAUUUCAUUACAUAAGUUCGAGAAGUAAAAGUACCCCCAAAAAGUGUAACGACCUGCUAGGUCGUUUUGAGAACUAGGACUAUUUUAACUCUUUCCGUAAAAUUUAAAUGAAAAUUUUAAACUAUUCGAUAGUUACGAGUAUUUAGUUGACGAAUAUUUAGCCAAUAAUUAAUAGUUGAUAGUUAAUGGGCCAAGUACAUAAUAUCCUUUGUUUAAUACCUUUUUACCACUUGGCCCAUAUAUUGAUUUAAGUUAGUGCAACUUUCACAUAUAGCAAACACAAAAUUCAUAUUUGUAUGUUAUAGCAGAGUUUGCAUAAUUGCGCUCCAUAGCAAACAUAAAUAUGUAUAUUUCGAUAUACAUAUACAAAAGAGAGCAGUUGUAUAAUCUACUUUGGUAUACAUAUACAAAAAGAUCAAUUGUAUAAAAGUGAGAGAGGCGAGUGAGCGAGCGAGAUCUGGGAGAGUGGCGAGCGAGAUCUGGGAGAGGGGAACGAAAAUAUAUGUAUAUAUACAAUUUUCUCUCGCUUUAUACAAACACAAACGCAUUUUAUACAAUUUGCGUUUUUUGUAUAAAGUGAGAGAGGCGAGUGAGCGAGCGAGAUCUGGGAGAGUGGCGAGCGAGAUCUGGGAGAGGGGAACGAAAAUAUAUGUAUAUAUACAAUUUUCUCUCGCUUUAUACAAACACAAACGCACUUUAUACACUUGCGUUUGUAUAAAAAACGAGAGAGGCGAGGGAGAGAAUGAGAGUGGCGAGCGAGAUUCACCAGGAGAGAGGUGAAAUAGCAACAGUUUGCUAUGAGAUACAGUUAAAUCAAAUUAUAUUUAUAGCAUUUAAUUUGAAUUAAUAGUUUUCUAUUAUAUACAAUUUUCCCUUUUAAGUUAUAUGGGUGAUUAGCAUAACACCGGUAACAGAGUUAGGCAAAACGUGUGCGGGAAGAAGAGAAAUCGCAGACUCCAGGUAAAACAAUUUUACUUUCAGGCAAGUUGUGAAUUGUAUAAUGCAUAUGUUUAUUGUUACAAUGGGUGAUAAUUAUUAGGUAAUGAUUGCGGAGUUAUUAAAUGGGAAUUAAAGAACGUUGGGGAUUGGGUUUAAAUUGAUGGUUUCAUGAUUUAAGAGCAGGUUAUAGUUGAGUGAAAAUUGUGGAUUUCUUGUCACUGUUUUGGGGUUUUAUACUAGCUUAAGACUACAGUUUCAACUCCUUGAUCGGUGGUAUACAGCAAAUCACAAUAUGGAAUUUAAUUACUCCAUUUUGAUUUUGUUAGCAACUUAAACAGUUGGCAUAGGUAAUUUGCUUAUGACUAAAAUCAAUGUUGAUGCACUGUCACAUGAUAAAUGCUUUUGUUCCGCAACCGGUGAUUCUUGGUUAGAUUAAUGCUGGUUAAGUCUGAAUUUGCAUACAAUAGUAAGAAGCAGUUCCUUGGAUACAUGUCUGACGUACUUUUAGGAAGCCAAACAAUUUAAGAAUUUGUCAAUCAUGAGUCAAGUUUACAUUUAUUGAGAUAUGUAAUUAAAUAUUAGGUGUAUUAGAUCUUGUGAAUGUCACUAGAAUUAUGUUAUUUGAAGGACUUAAGACUUAGCCCUAGGCUUGAAUUAUACGAAAUAUAAGAUGUGACAUAUUAGUUGGCACCAAAUUUAGGAGCUUGAUUAUAGCAUUUUGAUUAGUUUCUAGUCUAGGUUAGACGUGUAGUAAUAUGAGUGUCUAUGAACUCGCUUACUUACGAAUAUUGCAUAAUUGGUAAUUUGGGAACAUUCUGAAGCUUUGCGAAAAGGGAAGGAAAAAUCUUGAGGAUUUAUGGCACGAGUUCGGCAUUCAAGGUAUGUUAAGACUUUCAGACUUCAUUGGAGGACGUUUUCCUAAUUUAAAGAUUAAAAAAUGGAAUAGACAAUGGGUAAGGGCGAAAGAUGAGGGUUUCGUACCAAUGAUGUGACGGGCAUUGGUACAAGUACCGGUGUUAUAAAGGGAAAGUUUAUUACUAUAGAAUGCGGAUUUUAAUCCGAGAAUGCCGAAGCAUAUGGGCAUUAGCUGAUAUAUUAUUGAAUGAUUAUUUUGUGUGAUUGUGUUCUUAUUUGAACCUGUAUACUUGUGAGAUGCAUCAUCAUCCCCUUUAUUUGAGAUUAUAUUAUGCAUAUGCAUUGACAUGAGAUUGAGUAUAAGUUGGGCACGUGGAGAUCGUCCGUGCUGGGAUGGUGAGGUGUUAAGAUUAUAUUUUGGGCACGUGGAGACCGUCCGUGCCGAAAUUAUUUGAUUUUAUGGUAGUGCGUUGAGAUUGUCCGCACAGACACGUGGAGAUCGUCCGUGUCGGUAUAUGGACCUCGCGAGUCCCCCAUGGGUCAUGAACUCUUGAUGUAUUUUCGAGGAGUAUCAUGUAUAUACGGUUGAGAAAGUACUUGGCAUUCUGAGGCAUAUUAUUUCAUGGUGUCACAUUGCACUGCAUCUCAUUACAUCAUUUAUUAUUAUUGAUUAAGUGCUUUAUUGGUGGUUGUACAUUGUGUGAAGUUUGAUUAUCCUUAUUUUGAUGAAACUCGACUGGUAAGCGUACUAUUGACUUGUAUAAGUAAAAGACUUAUUUUUAUUAUUUAAACUCCUGUCACUACUUCUUCGUUGUCGGUCUAUGAGAUAUACUGGGUACACGUGGUUUCGUACUCAUACUACACUUGUUGCACUCUUUUGUGGUGCAGAUUCGAUUCCGAGUACGAGCACAUCUCGUGGAGCUUUUUGAGUCCGAGCUUGGAGUAUCUUGGAGUUGUGGUGAGCUGCUUGGCUGUUUCAGGUUCACCAAUGCUUAGAUGAGACAACCCCUACAACGAGAAAUACUCCUAAAGUAAUUCCCAAAGAAGUAGAACUUGAACCUCUGGGUGAAGAUGAGUGGGAUGGCAAUAAGAUGCAUCAAUCCGCAGAUGAGACAACUCCUACAAAGAAAAACAUUCUUGGAUUGAUUCCGGAAGAAAUAGAGCUUGACAAUAUGGAAGAUGAGAGAAAUGGAAAUAAGAUGCAUUAAUGCGCAAAUGAGACAAUUCCCCCUACAAAGGAAAAUAUUCUUGGAGUGAUUCCCGAAGAAGUAGAGCUUAAAUGUCUAGCUAAGGGUGAGAAGGAUGUCAAUUAGAUACACCAAUGCUUAGAUGAGACAACCCCUACAAAGAAAAAUAUUCUUGGGGUGAUUCCCGAAAAAGUAGAACUUGAACCUCUGGCUGAAAAUGAGGAUGAGAAGCUUUCUUCGGACAAUGAAGAUUUCAGUGAUGGAGGGCCUCAGAAGAAAAGGGCUGAAAAGAAGACAUGCAUUUACAUGUAGUUGUACAUGUUUUCUUUUCAGCCCGUUUCUUCUGAGGCCCUUCAUCAUUGAAAUCUCCAUUGUCCGAAGAAAGGUACUCAUCCUCAUUUUCAACCAGAAGUUCAAGUUCUACUUUUUCAGGAAUCACCCCAAGAAUAUUUUUCUUUGUAGGGGUUGUCUCAUCUAAGCAUUGGUGUAUCUAAUUGACAUCCUUCUCACCCUUAGCUAGACAUUUAAGCUCUACUUCUUCGGGAAUCACUCCAAGAAUAUUUUCCUUUGUAGAGGGGAUUGUCUCAUUUGCGCAUUGAUGCAUCUUAUUUCCAUUCCUCUCAUCUUUAGCCAUAGGGUCAAGCUCUACUUCUUCCGGAAUCACUCCAAGAAUGUUUUUUUUUGUAGGAUUUGUCUAAUCUGCGCAUUGAUGCAUCAUAUUGCCAUCCCACUCAUCUUCACCCAGAGGUUCAAACUCUACUUCUUUGGGAAUCACUCCAGGAAUAUUUCUCGUUGUAGGGGAUGUCUCAUCUAAGCAUUGGUGAAUCUAAUUGACUUCCUUCUCGUCCUUAGAGAGAGGUUCAAGCUCUAUUUUCUCAGGAGUAACUCCAUGAAUAUUCUGCUUCAUAAGGGUUAUUUCAUCUGAGCAUCAAUGCAUUGGUGAGCUGCUUGGCUGUUCCGUGGCCCACACCUCCCUCUACCUUUUAUUUAUUUGGUUAUUUUAGUAUUCCGACAGAAUAUUCCUUAUGUUUGGAUUUGUCAUUUAGGUUCAGACUUGCAUCAUAUUUAGAGCCUCUUGUACUUAUGACACCAAUUCUUGGGUGGUAUUCUAGUGUUUCGCAUGUCGUAUUUAUUAAGAACUUAGUGUCUGAGAUUUUUACUCGUUGUUUACCUUUAUACCUUAUUAGUUAUUUAAGAUUGGUAAAAUAUGUUGGGUUGGCUUACCUAUUGGUUGGGAACAUAGGUACCAUCACGACUUGUGAAUUUGGGUCGUGACAUCAAAGCCCUAGGUUCAUCGGUCUCACGAGUACAAGAGCAAUGUCUAGUAGAGUCUUGUGGAUCGGUAUGAAGACGUCCAUACCUAUCUUCGAGAGGCUAUAGGAGAUUUAGGAAAUCAAAUUUCUUUCAUUCCUUAUCGUGCACACUUUACCUUGUUGAAAUUCUAAUCUUGAUAUCUCAUUCUCUCAGAUUUGUUUCAUUUUUGGAAUACAUUAAGAGAAACUCAAAAACCAAAUCAAAGUUUUAAAAGAAUGAACCGAACAUAUACCUUAGAUUAAUCACACAUAACCUUGGAUAUCGAUAGUCUCACAUUUAUCUUCUUCACUAGAGAGUCGCUCCAAAGUACCAUCACCUUUAUCACAUGAUUUUGAAGUGAUUCAUGUCUGCACUCCUUGAAAUUUCCAUGUCUGAAUUCUUUGGCUAUUAGGACCAUUUGAUGAAUAAAAUGUAAGAUCUCAUUAAAUUUUAUAUCAAGUAAAGGAAAAGUCAUAGCACGUCUAAAAAAAAAAUCAUCUGAUGAAGCCUCUGAUUCUUUGGGGCGAGUCUCUGGUAAAAACAGAAAGGUUAGACUACGGAUGUUCAGGGAUAGAGGGAAGACAUAUGAAUCUUUUGAAAUGAAUUAUUUGUUAUUUAAUGAGAUAUACUAGUAAGAAAAACAUUCUUGUUGGUUUUUUUUAAAAAAAAAUUGCUAAUAAUAAUAAAUGUUGUUUGAUCCAGUUUAUCCAGCAUCUGAAUGAUAUUUAUAGAAUAGUGAGAGUGAAACAUUAAUGCAUCUGGACGAGAUAUUGGUGAAAGUGAAAAAGUCGUAACAGAUGAAAAGGCAAGUUACACUCUGCACGAGAGUUUCGUGCAAAUCACAAAAAUUAUGCUUUUUUUGUUUGUAUAUUUCAAAGCACGAUCCUCGUGAUCCUUGCACAGAACUCUCGUGCAAAUAAGGAGUGUUACUCUCGUGAUCCCUACACAGAACUCUCGUGAGAUUGAGGAGUGUCACUUGUAUGUGCACGCCAUUGUCUUUGUUCUAUAUAUAUAUCGAUCAUGUGUUGGAUAUGCUGGAUCAAGUAACAUUUUAUAUUUCUUCACUAAUAACUCAUUUUCCGUGAUUUCAUUUAUAUCAACUUCUCUUUACUUGGUAUAACUCUAGUACCAUUGCUUGUGAUGGUGCUCCAGAAAGUUCCCCAAUAUGUUUUUAUUGAUAUAAAAAAUUACCUUUCUUUUAUUUUUGUUAAAUGCAUUGAGUGAGUGAUUUUAUUGAAGUUAAAUUGACCGUUGAAAUUGAACCGAAGAGAGGGGGUGUGCUACUAUAUAUCUAUUAUGUAGAUCGAUAUGGGCAUCUCAAAAUACGUAACAUAGUUGGAGGUUCAUCACACAGUGUGAGGAGCUAUUAUAAAGUUUCUCAGCGGCUUCAAAGGAUAUCAAGCCGCAAAUAAUUCAAAUAUAGCAGUGCAAUGAUGACACAAAUUACUGAUGAAUGUGCUGAUACUUUGGGCGAGCCUCUAGUGAAGAAGAUAAUUAUGAGACGAUAUUGAAGGCUACUAAGGAGAAAUGAUGAAAAGGAAAAAAUAUGUGAGCCUGAAUUGGAUUUGUCUCUUAAAACUCCACUUGAAGAUAAUCCAAUUAAUAAGUUUCCAACCAUGGAAGAAACAAUUGAUUUUAGAAGGAACCUUAAGGGAAGGGUUUUGAGUCAAGUAAGGGAUACAAUGUUCUUGAGUCUCUUUUUGCUCUUCUUUUUUCUACUUUAGAACUAGAGCAAACACACACAAAAAAACUAUAGAAAAGAGAAAAAGAUUUAACUUUUCCUUCUUUUUUUCUUAGAAUGUAUUAUUUCAUUUUGACAUGAGAUCAAACUGUUGAUAUGAAAGUUAACAUUGAAAUUGCAAAUAUUGUCUUGAAUCAAAGUUGAAAUUAUAUAUACUCCUUGUAAUAAGUGUCUUACUUAUAUCUAUUCAUUUCUUUGAAAUUGUACCACAGUAAAAACUUCCAAUUGUGACCUUUAGUAGUGUUGUAAAGUAACAUAAAAAUUGGGGCAACUCAAAAAAGAGUUGAAAACACAAGGGUAGUCCAAUUAAGAUAUUUUAUGCUAUUAGAUAUCAAAGGCCCGUGAAUUUCUCUGCCUUUUGUACUCUCUUAUUGUUUAAGCAAACAAAAAUAAGAGUACUCUCUCAAAUUGUAUUUAAGUGCUUUAAUAUUAAGUAAAAUUUUACAUUUAAUUUGUAAGAUUUGUUGAUAAUUUUUCACAUCUGGAUUAUAGACAAUUUAGGGGUGUGCAAAAAUUGAACAAUAAAAUGAUAUUGGUUUUGCUAUCGGGUUAUUGGAUUAACAUGUUUUAUUAAAAAAAUUAUCGAAUUAUUGAUUCGGUUUUGAUUUUUUAAUAUUGGGUUAUUGGUAAAUUGAUAUCCACUGUAGUAAUUUACUGCUUUACCCCUAUAUAAAUACUAAAUAUUAAUCUCAGUAACUUACUGGUUACUGCAUUUGCCCUAUAGUCUUUAAUUCACAUGACUUCACAAUGACUUUUCGUUAACAACUUCACAUUAUACAAAACAUCAAAAUAUAAAGUAAGAAUUUUAUUUCUCUUAAUUUGCACCUUUGUAGUUCUUUUCAUGUUGUUUAUUAAUGUUUUUAUUUUAUGAGUGUUUUCUAAAGUUUUAUCAUUGUCUUGUCCGUCAAAUUAUUGGAGAAGUCAUAUAUUUGUUUUGUAAGCAUUUCCUUAUUAGUUAAACUGAAAUGAAACUGUUAAGGACCAAAAUCGAUAAGUCAAAAAAUGAUAGUUGUGCAUAUCUUUCAUAUCAAAACCAGAGACGGACACUUCUAUCGUGGUUAGAAUUAAAUACAAGAUUCGAUAAACUCAAUAAUUUUUUAUUCAAAUUUUAUAUUUAUAUAAAUUUUUAAAAUUAAAUAUGCAUAAAUAUUUAGUACAAAUACAAUAACUAAGAUGGGUUGUAAGUGCGGUGAUAAAUUCAAAAUUCAUAAACUUUAAAUUUCAACUAGUUAAACAAUUUUUGAAGGAAUAGUAACAUAUGAGUAAGACUUCACUACCUAUGUACUAUAUUUGCUCUUAUUUAGAAAUGAGAGUGUGGCUGUACUAACACUGCACUCUAGAAUUGUACAAGACGCUUUGUUAGUUUUUCUAAAUUGAAAAUUCUCAAUUUUACCCUCUUUUUUUUCUCUAUAUUGAUGGUCUGUAUUGAUUUUUUGGUCCUUCUCCUUUGAACACGUGUACUUUAAAGUGUUCUUUCUUUAUCAUUCUCAAAUUCUUUGUUUCUUGGAAUUUCAGAAUAUGUUCGUUUGACUUAGUUGAAAAUUGAGGAAAUAAAAUUUCUAAAUUUACCUUGGUUUAAUUCUUCUUGGAGACCAUCAUUUACACAUUUCAAUCAUCAUGGAAUAACCUCUGAAGUUGUCUUUAGCUUUCUAUUUAUUUCAUUUUAGUUUAGUAUUUAGGGAUAAUAAUUGUUCAUAUUUGAUUUUCCUUCUUCAUGUUUUAUUGAUGGAAUCUAUGUGCUUUUCGUGUUGUUAUUGAAUCUGAAGGAAGAACUUCUUACACUACUAAAGUGUUUGAUGAAAUGUCCAAAACAAUUAAGCAGCUUUCUGUUUUAAAUGUUAAGAUCUUACUUUUGGAUAACUAAUAUUGCACAUGAUUUGCGCACCUACGUACGUCUUAAAAAUUAUGUAAACAAGCCUUACCAGGAAUAUAUCAUCAAUUAUAUAAUUUAUAUGCUAUUUAUUGAGUAGGCGUUAGUGGUAAGAGGGUGUUUGAAUUGACUUAAAAGUUGGUCAAACCUAUAUUUAAGUCAGUUUUUAACUUCUGAAAGUGUUUGACAAAUAUAUAAAAAAAAUAACUUAAAAUAAGUUUGGAGGUGUUUGACUAUGACAAAAAUGACUUAAGGUGUACUAACACUGCAAUCUAGAAUUGUACAAGAAGCUUUGUUAGUUGUACUAAAUUGAAAAUUCUCAAUUUUACCCUUUUUUCUUCUAUAUUUAUGGUCUGUAUUGAUUUUUUGGUCCUUCUCCUUUGAACACGUGUACUUUAAAUCCUUUGUUCCUUGGAAUUUUAGAAUAUAUUCGUUUGACAUAGUUGAAAAUUGAGGAAAGAAAAUUUCUGAAUUGACCUUGGUUUCUUCUUGGAGACCAUCAUUUUACACAAUUCAAUCAUCACAGAAUAACCUCUGAAGUUGUCUUUAGCUUUCUAUUUUUUUUCAUUUUAGUUUAGUAUUUAGGGAUAAGAAUUGUUCAUAUUUGAUUUUCCUCUUCAUGUUUUAUUGAUGGAAUCUAUGUGCUUUUGGUGUUGUUAUGGAAUCUGAAGGAAGAACUUCUUACACUACUAAAGUGUUUGAUGAAAUGUCCAAAACAAUUAAGCAGUUUUCAGUUUUUUCUUCUCAAAAUGGUGACUUCGUGGAAAGUCGGUGAGAUGCUUUCCUACACAUACGAUGAAGUAAUUAUAAUAUUUACUAUUUGUAUUUGGCGUAUAUAUCAAAAUUUUAAACCUAAUUCUAGCAACUAAAAGAAGGGGCAUUGUGAAACUUACCUCCAGCAUUUUCCCCCUAGGCCUGGCUUUGUGGUGCUCAGGAAGUAGACGAAUUUCAUCAGUUACGUUGAGACAUUCAGCAACAUUUUCAGGCGAGAUGAAGUGCAAAACAACGUUGAUGCAUGACUUGCCGCGGACAGUGAAUAGAAUCUUUUGUUAGUUGUUAUGCACUAAAAGAAAUAAAGUCCCUGUUAUAUCUGAGACUAGAAUCGCUUCAGUAUAUAAUAUGACACAAAUUGUUAGGCUAGUUUAAGGUUUCUUAAGACAUAGAAGAGCUAAUGAAACUAUGGAACAGUUCACAGCAUGUGAAAUCAGAACACGAAAAUAUGGAUAACAGAACUAGAAAAUUAUGAAUAAAAGUAAAUAGAUAUAGUAAUAUAUGACGGGAGGGAGUUGCUCGGAUGGUAAGCAUCUCUCACUUUCAGCUUGAAAGUUGUGAGUUCAAGCCACCAAGGAAGAAAAAAAGGAAGGAAGCAACUAGGGAGGGGUAAAAAAAAGAUAUAGUAGUAAAUAUAUUGUAAAAUCAAGUGCAAAACCAAAUUUUAUGAUUCAGAUGCAAAGUUGCAAUUAUUAAUUAAUAUGUAUGCCUCUAACAUUGAACAUCAAUCGAAAGACAACUACAUAUAGCUAUAUGAAUGCAUAACAAUUUAUUGAACAAGAUACGUUUAUUUAUAUGUGCAUAAACAAUAAAAGAAAAAUAAUAAUAAAUAGUGAUACAAGAAUAACAAAUAUUUGCAUGUUGUGUAAAUAGCCCUUUUUGUACCAAUACACCAAAAAUAAAUCAAGUUGAUUACUAAAAUAGAUCUAGAUUGUUAAUAAGAAGUGGUCUUACCUUCUAUAACACAGAAACGUCAAGUCUCUAUGAGGAAAUUGAAAUUCAACUUUUCUCAGUGAGAACACAGAUGAACUUUGCACAUUCACGUACGACACUUUCUGAUAAAACGAAAAUAUCAGGUCUCUAUGAGAAAAUUGAGAUUCAACUUUUGUCAAUGAGAACACAGAUGGACUUGGGCGACUCCACGUACAACACCUUUCGAUAACACGGAAAUGUCAAAUCUCUAUGAAAAAAUUGAGUAUCAACUUUUGUCAAUUAGAACAUAGAUGGGCUACGGCGCCUCCAUGACCUAUUUACAGGGUUGACUCUAGGGUUAGAAAAUGAGGUAUCUAUCUUAGGUCCUGAAAUUUGACGUGCCGUGUUUUAAAGCAAUAAAUAGAAUUAUUAUAGGUUUUCUUUAGAAAAAUUAUUUUGUAUUGUCUCAUUUCAAUUUGCUUGUCUUAUUUAUUUAUUUUAGUUUGUUUUAAAAAGAAAAAAAAAGAAUAGUUUUUUUGGCUAACUCUUUAAUUUUAACUUUCCAUAUUGAAUGUUUUAAACCACAUGAUUAAGUGACAUUUUAGUAUAUUUUACAUAUCUUUAGUUUAAGACUACAAAAAUUCAAAACAUAUUCUUUACUUUCUUAAUAAUCAAUGAUAAUUCAUAUAAUUAAAUCUAAAGCUAGGAGAGAAGGAGGAUUUUGAAGUGUUAAGUAUAUUUUGAAGAAAAUAAUGAUAUUUUGGUCCUAAAUGAAACAAAAGUGAUAUUUGAACACAAUUUGCAAUACUUGAGUGACCAUUUAUGGAACUAACUUCUAUUAAUAAUAUACAAAGUUAAUAUAUACUCCUUCUAUCCCAUUUUAUGUGAGAUAGUUUGACUUGACACGAAAUUUAAGAAAGAAAGGAAGAUUUUUAAAACUUGUAGUCCAAAAUGAAUGAUAGAAAUUUGUGUGGCUAUAAAUCAUUUCAAGAAGAGUAAAAUAGACAUUAUAUAGUUAAAUUGUUACUUAAUAUAGAAAUGUGUCACUCUUUUUGGAACGAACUAAAAAGGAAAGUAAGUCACAUAAAUUGAGACAGAGGAAGUAAUUAUUUUUCUAAUACACUCUACCAAACAACUAAAGAAUAUAAAAAAGGCUCUUGUACCAAAAAUACCUCCACCCUUUGCUUCACAAUUUUACGUGUAUGGAAAGUGGGAAACAUUCGGUCCCUCGGAAAUUACGUCCGAGGUGAAAUCACACCAAGUUCUCUGCUACUAGAAUCGGCCACACCUUCUCUCCCCAGAGAAAAUUAAUCAAAUAUUGCAAACGACGGGAAUGGUCUUCGAGUCCCCGUUGCUCCCCAGUAUACACGCAAGUGUAUGUGGUCGCUCAAGUAAUAUAGAUUCUUUAAGAAACGAGUUAUCGUUCCCAAGGGACUUAUGAUCGAUAUAUAUUUAACACUUAAUUCUACAAAUACAAGUAAAAGUAACCUUUUCAAGAAUUGAUGAUUGAUUGUUGACUACUACUAAUUAUGAACUAAAUGAAAGUAACUAAUUUUGAACGACUUUAAUAUUAUGUUUCAAGCAAGUUAAAAGCAAUUCCAGGGCUGCAACAUAUACUGAAUAUCAUGUAUCAUAGUAUCGGCCUAGAACUAAUUUCAGUUGUCAAGUUACUGAUUUAUAGGGUUAAUUAUAUGAGUCGGGCUAUACACCUCUCGUCGCCUACCCCAAUUAGCUACCUAACUACAUCGUUGAGCGGGGAUAAAUAGACUAAUUGGCGAGCAUUUAUAUUUCAUCAUAUUUCGUAACCAAGCGAGUUGUUCGUCCGGACGUCACUCCUGAACACAAAUCACCUCGACUUAACGGGUCGAUCAAGCUCUCUAUAUCCUCUGGUCUAUUUAACCUCUCCUCUCCCGAUUUUAAGGUUAAACAAUAGAUUUAUAAUGACAACCAAGAAUUAAUUCAUAAAGCCUUAAAUAAUCAACAAUCUAUUCGUAGCUAUAGCCCCAGAACUAGGGCAUUUAGCCAUUCAUGCUAUUAGAAAACAAGAAAAUACAAUAGUUCAUGCAAUUUCCAGAAAUUAGAAGAGUUGAAGGAUUAAAACAUAUUACAAACUUGAAUUCUUGCUCUUGCACACUAAAUCAAAAGUCGAACCCUUACUAAUGAACCCUAUGGGUCUAUUUAUAAUAAUUAGAAAAACUAAGACCCAAUCCUCAACCAAUAAGGAGUCAUAUUUAGUUGUAUUUUUGCUGGAAAAGUCGGCAUCAUGGUGGGGCGCCACGCCUAGCAUUGCGCCUGAAACUGGCCUCUGAAGUUUCCUCCUUGGCGCGCCGCGCCUCUCAAUCCGCCUGAGAGGCGUCUCUGAAUGUUGGCCCUUGGCGCCUCGCGCCUAGCAGUGCGCCUGGCCCUGGGGUCUUCAUCCUUAGCUGCUUUUCAUGCUCUUUUACGUCUCUUUUCUUCAAGUUGACUCUAAUUCCCUUGAGAGUUCCUGAAACAACUAAUCAUGUGUGUAAGUGUACAAUCAUUCCAAUUACACAAAAAAUUAAGCUAAUGACUAGAGAUCAUCUUUCAAUCUAAUUGAUUUAUGGGCAAUUAUUAACAACUUAGGCAUAUAAAUAUACCUAAGAUCAGUCCCCAUCCUAAAUCAUUCUAAUUUUGACCGAUUCCAUUUGAAGGUGGAAGUUAGUUUUUGAGUUUUUGAAUCAAAUAUUGCUCAUGUAUCUUUAUUCUUAUUUUACUCAGAGAUCACUAAUUUAGACAUCUUUAUCUAUAUGGAUUUGAGUCUCUUUUUCCCCCCAAUAAUAUAGUCUUUCUUUUAGUAUUUUUUUGAUGGAUGGUGCAUAAUUGUUCUUUGUCUUUCUUCAUGUUUCUUUGUUAAUUAUGUACAUAAAUUCGUUUGUUUGUUCAAACGCCUCUUAUGAAAUAAAAAGGCAGAAGAAAGAACUAAAUAAAUUUCCUAAACCUUUUUCUUGCAUCUAAAAUUUGUUUGUAUAAAUUUGUAUUGAAGAUAACUAGAAAAAUUAAACGGUUUUCUAAUCAAUAUCAUCCUAUUUUUUAUUUGUUUUAAACGGUUUUCUAAACAAAAUUGUCCUAUUUUUUAUUUGUAUAAUGUAUAUUAUCAUUUUUGAUUGCAGGUACCACAUGAAGAAAACUAAGAAGUCCAGAUUUUAGUUUAUUGUGUAUACUUCGUGAAAUGGUUCCGCCAUGUUUGUUGUCAGGAGCAACAAGAUCAAGUAGGGUGGAGGGGAACAUUUAAUUCUUUUUAUCUAUUAGUUUUCAGUUCUUAUCUUUGGCGUGUGGUAGAGCAAUCUAAUAGCCCGCAAGGCUCAUAACCUUGAGGUCACCGAAACUGCAGUUACUUUUCUAUCCUCAUUUUGUAGUCAUAUUCCUUUGUACAUAACAUGUUUGAUGAAAGUUAUGUUCAAAUUGUUAGAAGAAUGAUCCAUUGAUUCUUAGUAAAUAUGUUAUCAAAUUCUGUAACAUCCUAAAUCAAUGGAUUACAAGUGCCGCUGAAAGAAACAAAAGGAAAAUGACCUCUUCAACUACGAUUGACAAGAAAGGAAAGUAGCAGUGACAAAAUAUGCAACUUCAGGCAAGAUGUUGAAACUAGGAUCAC
RNAcentral lists this long non-coding RNA (18629 nucleotides) under Solanum tuberosum (potato). RNAcentral's name for it is "long non-coding RNA (STUB_LNC002012)". Lineage: Eukaryota; Viridiplantae; Streptophyta; Magnoliopsida; Solanales; Solanaceae. The record is from RNAcentral.